Molecule: long non-coding RNA, 480 nt
Filed under: Triticum aestivum (bread wheat)
Lineage: Eukaryota; Viridiplantae; Streptophyta; Magnoliopsida; Poales; Poaceae
Description: long non-coding RNA (TAES_LNC026271)
Source: RNAcentral
AGAUAUAUUUGCUGGAAUUGAUGACAAGAAGAUCAUAGAACAUUUUCACAGCUUGAGAGACCGUAGAGGCCAUCUACCAAACCCUCCCCGUAUACUUACGACUUAGGGUAAAUACUUUUGUUAUCUGUUUCAAACUAUUUGCUUACUUGUUCCAAUACAUGUAUUGAUAUCAGCUUGUUGACCUGUUGUAGGUAUCUAUUAAUCAUGGAGUUGGACAUUUUGGGCCAUGGAAUGCAUUAUUCAAGCAACGGGAGUCCAAGUUAGUAGUUAUGUGUGACGUUUAUGUUAUAUUUUGUGAUUUUAGGUGGUUACAGCCUAGUUCUUGAAAAUCUUGAACUGUCCUAAAUCAUUGGUCAUGUAAAUUUUCGAAUGCAUCUAGCUUCAUAUUUCAAUUUUAUGAGACUUGGUUCAGCGGACUUGCAUUCGUCAAUCAAAUUUUUUAUUCCUUCAAUGUUUCGCCCCGGCUAAGUUCAAUUCCUG